GAUAAACGCUGGCGGCGUGCAUAACACAUGCAAGUCGAACGAUGAAGAUUAAAAGAUUUCUUCGGAAUGAACUUAAUUGGAUUAGUGGCGGACGGAUGAGUAACGCGUGAGUAACCUGCCUUGUACAAGGGGAUAGCCGGUGGAAACGACGAAUAAUACCCUAUGACAUCAAAUAAUCGCAUGAUAAUUUGAUCAAAGAUUUAUCGGUAUAAGAUGGACUCGCGUCUGAUUAGCUAGUUGGUAGAGUAAAAGCCCACCAAGGCAACGAUCAGUCGCCGGCUUGAGAGAGUGUACGGCCACAUUGGGACUGAGACACGUCCCAGACUCCUACGGGAGGCAGCAGGGGGGAAUGUGGAACAAUGGGGGAGUCCCUGAUGCAGCGACGCCGCGUGAUUUAGAAGGCCUUCGGGUUGUAAAAAUCUUUUGUAUGUGAAGAAAAUGACAGUACCAAACGAAUAAGGCCCGGCUAAUUACGUG
Molecule: ribosomal RNA, 477 nt
Filed under: uncultured bacterium
Lineage: Bacteria
Description: partial 16S ribosomal RNA
Rfam family: Bacterial small subunit ribosomal RNA
Source: RNAcentral